This 467-nucleotide ribosomal RNA is filed under the name uncultured bacterium. RNAcentral's name for it is "partial 16S ribosomal RNA". It matches the Rfam family "Bacterial small subunit ribosomal RNA", at positions 28 to 506 of the family's 1533-position model. The record is from RNAcentral.
GACGAACGCUGGCGGCGUGCUUAACACAUGCAAGUCGAACGGAAAGGCCCUGCUUUUGUGGGGUGCUCGAGUGGCGAACGGGUGAGUAACACGUGAGUAACCUGCCCUUGACUUUGGGAUAACUUCAGGAAACUGGGGCUAAUACCGGAUAGGAGCUCCUGCUGCAUGGUGGGGGUUGGAAAGUUUCGGCGGUUGGGGAUGGACUCGCGGCUUAUCAGCUUGUUGGUGGGGUAGUGGCUUACCAAGGCUUUGACGGGUAGCCGGCCUGAGAGGGUGACCGGCCACAUUGGGACUGAGAGACGGCCCAGACUCCUACGGGAGGCAGCAGUGGGGAAUAUUGCACAAGGGGCGGAAGCCUGAUGCAGCAACGCCGCGUGCGGGAUGACGGCCUUCGGGUUGUAAACCGCUUUCGCCUGUGACGAAGCGUGAGUGACGGUAAUGGGUAAAGAAGCACCGGCUAACUACGU